CGGAGGUUCAUUGGAAAACGGACCAGGUAAAAACACCAAGGGUUCCCUUCCUGUCAGCCUGGGGAUGCAAAGAAAAACAAAUGAGCCUGAGUGACGCUGAGCUGACAUAAUGCAGUACCGGUCACACUGGUUGAACUGGCCUCAGGCCUCUGAACAACCCCAGAGGGCGGGGACAGAAACAAGAAGAAGACGACACCGGAAAAAGACACAUUUGUGUUGAACAAGACCAGGAAGAAGGACUGAGACGUGCAAGU
This is a long non-coding RNA of Notothenia coriiceps (black rockcod), 254 nucleotides long. RefSeq lists it as uncharacterized. The record is from RefSeq and is a predicted model, not a curated record. Lineage: Eukaryota; Metazoa; Chordata; Actinopteri; Perciformes; Nototheniidae. The transcript is spliced from 3 exons.